ACCCGCACAAGCAGCGGAGCGUGUGGUUUAAUUCGUUGCUACACGAAGAACCUUACCUGGGUUUGACAUAUAGGUUGUAGGGAACUGAAAAGGGACCGACCUUCGGGGAGCCUAUACAGGUGUUGCAUGGCUGUCGUCAGCUCGUGUCGUGAGAUGUUGGGUUAAGUCCCGCAACGAGCGCAACCCUUAUCCCCAGUUGCCAUCAGGUAAAGCUGGGAACUCUGGGGAGACUGCCGGUGAUAAACCGGAGGAAGGCGGGGAUGACGUCAAGUCCUCAUGGCCCUUACAUCCCGGGCUACACACGUGCUACAAUGGCAGGUACAGAGGGCUGCGAAGCCGCGAGGUGGAGCGAAUCCCAGAAAACCUGUCUCAGUCCGGAUUGAAGUCUGCAACUCGACUCCAUGAAGUUGGAAUCGCUAGUAAUCGCAGAUCAGCACGCUGCGGUGAAUACGUUCCCGGGCCUU
RNAcentral lists this ribosomal RNA (464 nucleotides) under uncultured Latescibacterota bacterium. RNAcentral's name for it is "bacterial SSU rRNA". It matches the Rfam family "Bacterial small subunit ribosomal RNA", at positions 919 to 1382 of the family's 1533-position model. The record is from RNAcentral. Lineage: Bacteria; Pseudomonadati; Candidatus Latescibacterota.